RNAcentral lists this long non-coding RNA (8258 nucleotides) under Triticum aestivum (bread wheat). RNAcentral describes it as "long non-coding RNA (TAES_LNC019750)". Lineage: Eukaryota; Viridiplantae; Streptophyta; Magnoliopsida; Poales; Poaceae. The record is from RNAcentral.
UCUACUAAUGUUGCCACAUCACCAUGAUUACUGUUGAUAAUCUCGCGAUGGUUCGAAACCGAUUCAAAUUCAAAUUCAAAAUCAAGCAAACCAUAAAAGUUUUCAAAUAUUAAAACUAAAAUGUUCUGCAUGUGACACAUAAUCCCUAGGUAAUGUUGGUGGAGAAACCACAUUUUUAUUAAAUAAUUUAAUGCAGUAAUGUAAUUAAAACAGUAGCUAAAACAUUUAAUUAAAUGCCUUUUAUAAAUUAUAAAUUAUUUAAACAUUUUAUUUAGGGGCCAAACUUUUAAUGCAGUGAGUUAUUUAGAGACAUUAUUUUAGGAACUAUUGUCCUAUUUUACAAAACUAAAGAAACUAAAAGUAAAAUAAAACAGAAUAAAAGAAAAUGGGAAAGGAAAAGAAAAACAAACAACAAAAUCAAAAGGAGAAGGAACCCCCCCUGCUGGGCCAUGGCCCAGCUGGCCGAAACCAGUGAGGCCGGCCCACCCGGUGCCCCUGUAUAACCCCACCCCACUAACCCUAGAGCCCACUACCCCCCACGAUCCCCACUCCUCCCCUUGAUCCACUCCUCCCUCUCCCUCCCCAUUCUGGAUCGGGGCGCCCGACCCGCCGCCGCCGCCGCGCCUUCACCGUUUUCGCGCGCCGGCGCCACCCCGAGCUGCACCAGGUUGGGCAGAAGCCUUGUCACCCUCCCCUACAUCGCCUACAUGGACCAGCUCGAGCUCCUCACCCCUGCGUCAAGCUGUUCGCCGUCGUCUUCCACCUCGGACUCAGAGACCGCCGUCGUUGCUUCGUCGUCUCCGGCGCCUCCCUGUGCUCGCCGAGCCUUCCAUGUGCUCCGAUGUGAGCCCCUCCAUCGAUCCCCCUCUUCCUCCUUUCGUUUUCCUCGCCGUAGCGCCGCCCCACGAGCUCGCUUGCCCGCUGCCGAACCCGCUCGCGUUCACCAUGCCCAGGCGCUUCGCCGUGCCCCGAACGCGCCGGCCAACACUCGGACGCGUCGGCUACGCCGCGCCCGCGCCCAGCAACCCGAGUUCGUGCUUAGCGCCACCGGCCUGCGCUCCCCCUGGCCUCCCCCAGACGCCGCUCACGCCGGCUGCGCCCCUCACCUGCAUCGCCCGGCGCCUGCCGCACCCCAUCGCUGCUGCUGUGCCGCCACGCCUCUGCCACUACUGCCGCGCCAUGCCGCCAGCCGCAGCCUCGCCUCCCCUCGGCACUGCGCCGCUGCCCUGCCGGGCGCACGCGCCCUUGCGCCGGUUAGCCGCGCUGGGUCGCUUCGGGGCUUCGUUGCCCCGGCGCCCGCUAACCCGCCCCGUUUCUUCCCCUGUGCCUAUGACUAGUGGGGCCCAGCCCCAGAAAUGAAAUGAUAAAAAAAGAAUUUAAAAUAAUAAUAAUAAUAAAAUUAAUUAAUUAAUUAAUUAACUUAACUUUAUUAAUUCUGAUUAAUUAGACUAAACAACAAAUUAAACUAAUUAAUCAUGAUUAGUUAGUCUAGUCAAUGAACGUGACCCACAUGUCAUUUGACCAGUCAACUCUCUGCUGACGUCAUGCUGACGUCAGCAUGCACCGUUCUGGAUAAUCCUAAAAAUGAUUUAAAUCUUUUAAAAUUAAUAUAAAAUAAACCGUAGCUUGGAUGAAAAAACUUUGUACAUGAAAGUUGCUCAGAACGACGAGACGAAUCCGAAUACGCAACCCGCUCGUCCGCCACGCAUCCCUAGCAUACCGAACACGCAACUUCCCCCCGGUUCAUCUGUCCAAAAACGUGAAACACCGGGAAUACUUUCCCGGAUGUUUUCCCCCUUCACCGGUACCACCUCGUACCGCGUUAGGGCACACCUAGCAUCACGCUUUGUCAUGUCAUGCAUCGUCAUGCAUUUGUUUGUAUUAUAUUUAUUGUUUCUUCCCCCUCUUCUCUCACUAGACACCGAGACCGACACCGCUGCUACCCAGUACGACUAUGGUGUUGACGACCACUCUCUCUUGCCAGAGCAACCAGACAAGCCCCCCCUCUUGAUCACCAUAUAUCGCCUACUCUCCUCUAUACUGCUUGCAUUAGAGUAGUGUAGCAUGUUACUGCUUUCCGUUAAUCCUAUCCUGAUGCAUAGCCUGUCAUUGUUGCUACAACUGUUGAUACCUUACCUGCAAUCCUAAAUGCUUAGUAUAGGAUGCUAGUUUAUCAUCAGUGGCCAUACAUUCUUGUCCGUCUGCCAUGCUAUACUAUCGGGCCGUGAUCACUCGGGAGUUGAUCACGGGUAUAUACCUAUACUUUAUACAUGAUACAUGUGAUGACUAAAGUCGGGUUGGCUCGAGGAGUACCCGCGAGUGAUUCAUGGAUUGGGGGCUGAAAGGACCUUUGUCCCGAUGGCCCUCUGGGUGGAUCGUUGUGGCGGAGCAAUAGGGAAGGUUGAGACCACCUAGGAGAGAGGUGGGCCUGGCCCUGGUCAGCGUUCGCGGUGUCUUCAAGAUAACACGUUUAACGAGAUCUUGGUAUUUGAUCUGAUUCUGGCUACUGGCCUAUACACACUAACCAUCUACACGGGGACAGUUAUGGGCACUCGACGUCGUGGUAUCAGCCGAAGCCUUCGUGACAUCAGCGAUUGAGCGACGCGCGCCGGGCUGGACCGCGUAGCGCAACUUCCUUUGUAAUGGAGGUUGCUAGGUCUGCUCACCGGCCGCAUUCGCAACAUGCAGGUGUGCAAAGGACGAUGGGCCCAGACCCCUGCGCCAUAGGAUUUAGACCGACAUGCUGACCUCUCUAUUGGGCAUAGGUAGGGCUGCGACGUGUUGAUCUUCCGAGGCCGGGCAUGACCCAGGAAAGUGUGUCUGGCCAAAUGGGAUCGAGCAUGUUGGGUUAUGUGGUGCACCCCUGCAGGGAAGUUAAUCUAUUCGAAUAGCCAUGAUCUUCGGUAACAGGAUGACUUGGAGUUGUACCUUGACCUUAUGACAACUAGAACCGGAUACUUAAUAAAACACACCCUUCCAAGUGCCAGAUACAACCGGUGAUCGCUCUCUCACAGGGCGACGAGGGGAGGAUCAUCGGUUAGGAUUAUGCUAUGCGAUGAUACUUGGAGGACUUCAGUCUACUCUCUUCUACAUGCUGCAAGACGGAGGCUGCCAGAAGCGUAGUCUUCGAUAGGACUAGCUUUCCCCCUCUUAUUCUGGCAUUCUGCAGUUCAGUCCACCGAUAUGGCCCUUUACACAUGUACCCAUGCAUACGUAGUGUAGCUCCUUGCUUGCGAGUACUUUGGAUGAGUACUCACGGUUGCUUUCUCCCCCCUUUCCCCCCUUUUCUUUCUUUCUGGUUGUCUCAACCAGAUGCUGGAGUCCAGGAUCCAGACGCCACCGUUGACGACGACUCCUACUACACCGGAGGUGCCUACUACUACGUGCAGCCCGCUGACAACGACCAGGAGUAGUUUAGGAGGAUCCCAGGCAGGAGGCCUACGCCUCUUUCGAUCUGUACCCCAGUUUGUGCUAGCCUUCUUAAGGCAAACUUGUUUAACUUAUGUCGGUACUCAGAUAUUGUUGCUUCCGCUGACUCGUCUAUGAUCAAACUCUUGUAUUCGAGCCCUCGAGGCCCCUGGCUUGUAAUAUGAUGCUUGUAUGACUUAUUUUUAUUUGUAGAGUUGUGUUGUGAUAUCUUCCCAUGAGUCCUUGAUCUUGAUCGUACACAUUUGCAUGUAUGAUUAUUGUACGGUCAAAUCGGAGGCGUCACAAGUUGGUAUCAGAGCCGACUGCCUGUAGGAAUCCCCUUCCACACUCCCUGGCCGAAGUCGAGUCUAGACAUUACCAAAACUUUUACUAACAUGGCUGUGUGUCUUACGGGCCCACAUCGCCAUUGGGUGGUAUUAGGAUCUUUUACUCCUUGUCUAUACUCUGGGACUCUAAUUUCUCUUCUAUUCGGGUUAAACUGAAUUUCGCUAAAUCUAACAUUAGGAUCUCGUUAUCACUUUCACCCGGAGAGCACCUUAUUACCGAUGAUCGUCUGCUACACCAGAAGACCCUGAAGAUACUCUCCGUUGUUAACCCGAGAACUUGUGUUCAUUGCGUUUGCAAUUCCCCUUCAACCCUCAACCCUUAUGGAUAACUACAUGUAGUUGUCAUUCUUACACUCAUCCCUAGUUGUUCUUGUUAUUACAAGAUACCCUGAAAUACUCGUCGUUGAUUCGAUAAUCCUUUGUGCCUUACUGUCUUGCAGUUUUUGCCACAUGAAUACCCCUACGAAUAAUUUCUCACACUUGCCGAGUAUCCGCUUAUCCCCAGUUGUUUGUGUUUUGCAAAAGUCUUCGAAAUACUAUUCGAUCCUUCGAAAAUCCCUAGCAGCUUAUUGCUCUGCAAACACUUGUCUGCUUGCAUUAUGGAUGCUCUCCAUAUGUCUUGCAAUAUUCAUUAAUCUCCUUUGACACCGUCAUUUUGAUCCUAUUGAUUCAACAUGAGUGCGAGUGCGCGCAAUCAUCGGUUGAUCCUUUUAAAAUAUCUUUCCGGCUUAGAUGUCAUUUUGAUAGUGAGCUGGUUAUCGAAUCAUCAAAUUGUCGUCGAUUGUACCCCUAAGUCUAUUCAACUUAUCCAUUCUUAAUCAGACCGUUGGCUUCUGAUCCCUUGAUUUGAAAAUCUUAAUUCCUUUGUAGAUGAGCUCUGAAUUAGUCAGGUGUUUCCAAUGCCUUCGCAUUGAUUCUUCUUCUAGUUGAGUACCGAUGCUCACAUCAGUUCUCUUGUGGACCAUCAACUCCUUUGUUGGGUUUUAUCUGACAACGUCCUUCAUAUUCAAUGACUUUGUGAGUCUUUUCUCGGAUACAUAAUGCCUUUGGUAAAUUGUAUCCUCUGCUUUGUCGAACAUGCUCUGCUUUUGAGCUUGUGUUGUUUACUCCUGAAGUUCGUGGUAUAUGUUCCUAAGAAGCCCAGAUGGGUUGAACCAAUGCCUUCCCUAAUCUAUGCAAACCCGAAAGAUUUCACAGGUCAUACUUAUCUGGUAUUGCACCAGGUAAAACUUUCAACAACUAAUGCCAUUUCGAAAAGAAACGAGAAGUGAAUGAAAGGUUAUGCAUUGGCGAAGUGGGAGUCGACCUUGAACUUUGUGUUCAUGCCCAUGGACAUGAUGUAGAACUUAUCAUGGAAGCUGCUCGUAAAAAUAAUUACCCCCUUGUUAGAAGUUCAUCUUGUAUCCGUGGUUCGAUCAUUUAUGAUUGUGGUUCCGACCAUAAUUUCUUCCUUUGAUUCCAUUUCUCAGACAAGUUAAAGCGCUUGUCUUCUAUAUAUCAAUACACCCCACUUCAACCUUUCAUUUGAUAUGCCUUCGAGUAUUAUCCCCCUAGUAUCUCGAGGAUAUCAUGCCAUUGCACUACAUCUUAUGAAUUUGUGCUGGAGUAAUACCUUUCCCUAUCAGAGUCACUCUACGAGUUCUGGGUUGUCGUCAACCGAGAACACCGAUAAGUGAAUUGAUUCCACGCUCCGACCUUCGAUACGAUAAAUCUAAGUAAUUUUUGUUCCUUAUGAUUUAAUAAUCCUUCAAGUCAUUCCUAGCCUGAUCGGCUAUAUCAUUAUCGUGCAACUUUUUAACUGUGCUACCUGGCCCUUCUUCCCGGAGCACAAUUUUUGAUGAUGAGCUAAUCUUACAUCGACUUUCCUCAUCAUAUCAUUUUGCUUUGGACAACAAGCUCGUUUUCGAGUUUGUGUCGUACCCAUGGUUCCAAUAACCUCUUUCUUCAUCAUUCCUUUGACUUGAUGUCAUCGCUGAUCGAUUACAUCUUCAGGUAAUCUCUCGACAAAUGUGUCGUGAUCAUUAUCAACAUUCCGAGCUCUUCCAGAACAUCAAUCAAAUUCAUGAUGAGAAUUACCAUCCUUGCCCCUCGAUGAUUUGUGUUGUCAUCGACUACUUCCUUGCCUUCUUUCCAACACAAACUUGUUCGAGUUGUGGCUGUACCUUGAGUUCCUGGCUAUCCAGCUUGUCUUAUGUCCUACCUUGAAGUAAUACCAUCUUAUAUAUCAAGAAUGUUGUGAGAAUUUCACCACCUCUUAAGAAUUCUUGGUAUGGUGAUACUUCUCACCAUCACCAUUCUUUCUUGGUACCCGUGUUGUUUCUAACCGGAAUACCGACAAUUGAACUAUGAUGUGUGAAUUCAAAACUUCUAGCAACCCUAUUGCUUUGAAGUGAAUGGUCGAGUUUCAUUCUAAUUCUUUUGUUCGUCAAGUCACCAUUCUAACAUUGAUCGUGCAACCCAGCCCAUAUUUCGGGUGCACCUUUCAACCCAUGUUUAAUUGUGUAUGUUUUCCUCGAGCAAACAUCAUUAAGUCAUUUGAUCUGGCUAAUGUUAUCUCCUUGUUCACAUAGUUGUGGAAAUCCAUCCUUUUUGGAAAUGUCAAUGGAUUGUCGCUGAGUCAAUCAGUCACCUCCUGACCUCUCCUUGAUUUAAUGGUGAACUCUUGUUUCGGUAGUCGCUUCCAUGGUUUAAUUCCCGAGAAUCAUACAAUGUCACCUCGACAAUUUGUGUUGCACCUUUCUUCUCAGGCAUCCUGAGUCUAAGGUAUCUUGACACCAACCAGAUCUGAAUCUUGGUCAGAUAUGAUGGUUGGAACAUAUUUUCAAGAGUUAUAACAUUGGUCCCUAUAUGCCCCGGUAAGGUGAUGUCAUGCCUAGCACGCCUGACCAGAGGACCUAGUGUUAUAGUUUCCUUUUUAACAAGGUUAAUCAUUUUUCCAUGAGGAAAUUGAAUGCCUUGUUUAAUAAGUUUAUCCUGAUGGAUCCUUUGUGUAUCCAAAGUCCGACCUUGCUCGAACACCAUGUCAGUGCUAUCUCAAAGCAUGUCUGUGGUACUCUGGUCAUCGAUAAGAACAUUUUGAAGCACCCUGCUAAAUUUCCUUUAUCAAUUAUUCAAACACCGUUGUUUGGGUAAUGUCAUGAACUUCCUCUCCCCUUACCUAAAUGGUUUUCUACGUUAUAUCCUGUCAUGGAUAUCAUGCUCUACUUGUCCUUGGGAAGGAUAUACCCCUGAAAUAUGUGUUUAAACACCUUUUCCCUUUCCAUUGUUUGGUUUAGCCUUUCUUGUGAUCUAUAUGAUCCAUGCAAAAAUAUUCUCCUGCUUAUGUAAACAUCUCGGUGUACAAUUCUAGCAGUAAGACCCUGUUACUAUUGUUGAUGACAUUCCGGUAACCACCGAUGGACGAGAACUUUGCCUAUUGGUCCGCCUCAUUCAACGAGCAAGAAAAUGGUUCUCUUCGUCCCUCGCCCUUGGUACCGAUGUUGUUGCCGACAUAACUGAUAGGCUAUCCUCUGACAUGCCUUGCUUACAUGAUCGUGCAAGAUGUCAUCGCCUUCCUAUGUUUAACCCAGAUGGUGGGCCCAUAACCCACAGUUCCUCAGGAUCAAACCUUGACUCUCCUAUACACCCCCUGUUUCCAAACUAAUUCCUCGUACUUGGCCUCAUAUGUGAUUCACGAGCCACCUUCCGAGAGAUCAUCAAUUAUGGUAUCAGACACAAUACUUAUUCCCAUUGCUUUGAAUCCCUUUUCACGCCCUGUUUCAGGCAUCGGACGAUUGCCUGCCCGCUCAAAACUUCCCAUGAUACCUCCUUACUUUGCUCUCGAUAUAUUCGCAAGUUUCAAUUCUAGAGUUACUUUCGCCACUUUCCUCGAUGUUAUCGACCAGAUAGUCGACCCUGCAGAGUUCUGUUCUCUCGGUAUGCCCAACCUUUAUUCUUUCGUAAGUACGAUGGAGUUCCUGAAGAAAGGAUGCCGACUUCAUCAUGAUGACCUGAAGCAGAGAAAUGAAGACAUCAAUGUAUUGGACCAGCCUCUUCGAGAAGAGCAAGCCAGGAUGAGAAGACCCGCUAGAUGCAUUACCAAACCUUUCCCCCCUUUCACUACCUCUUAAAUCUCGGGACGAGAUUUCUUGUAGUGGAGGAGAAUUGUGAUGCUCGGAUAAUUAAGCUACAGUAACCCUCUACUAAUGUUGCCACGUCACCACGAUUACUGUUGAUAAUCUCGCGAUGGUUCGAAACCGAUUCAAAUUCAAAUUCAAAAUCAAGCAAACCAUAAAAGUUUUCAAAUAUUAAAACUAAAACGUUCUGCAUGUGACACAUAAUCCCUAGGUAAUGUUGGUGGAGAAACCACAUUUUUAUUAAAUAAUUUAAUGCAGUAAUGUAAUUAAAACAGUAGCUAAAACAUUUAAUUAAAUGCCUUUUAUAAAUUAUAAAUUAUUUAAACAUUUUAUUUAGGGGCCAAACUUUUAAGGCAGUGAGUUAUUUAGAGACAUUAUUUUAGGAACU